RNAcentral lists this ribosomal RNA (487 nucleotides) under Himanthalia elongata. RNAcentral describes it as "SSU rRNA". It matches the Rfam family "Eukaryotic small subunit ribosomal RNA", at positions 1306 to 1804 of the family's 1831-position model. The record is from RNAcentral. Lineage: Eukaryota; Phaeophyceae; Fucales; Himanthaliaceae.
GUGAUUUGUCUGGUUAAUUCCGUUAACGAACGAGACCCCCGCCUGCUAAAUAGUGGGGCUUACGUUUCUACGUAGGCACUCGCUUCUUAGAGGGACUUUCGGUGACUAACCGAAGGAAGUUGGGGGCAAUAACAGGUCUGUGAUGCCCUUAGAUGUCCUGGGCCGCACGCGCGCUACACUGAUGCAUGCAACGAGUUCUACAACCCCCUGGACCGAAAGGUCCGGGUAACCUUUGGAAUGUGCAUCGUGAUAGGGAUAGAUCUUUGUAAAUAUUGAUCUUGAACGAGGAAUUCCUAGUAAACGCGAGUCAUCAGCUCGCAUUGAUUACGUCCCUGCCCUUUGUACACACCGCCCGUCGCACCUACCGAUUGAAUGUUUCGGUGAAGAUUCCGGACCGUGAAUGCGGUCGCUUCGCGGCGUCUGCGUUUCGUGGGAAGAUAUCUGAACCUCAACAUUUAGAGGAAGGUGAAGUCGUAACAAGGUUUCC